This 253-nucleotide ribosomal RNA is filed under the name uncultured bacterium. RNAcentral's name for it is "partial 16S ribosomal RNA". It matches the Rfam family "Bacterial small subunit ribosomal RNA", at positions 524 to 776 of the family's 1533-position model. The record is from RNAcentral.
UACGUAGGGUGCGAGCGUUGUCCGGAAUUAUUGGGCGUAAAGGGCUCGUAGGCGGUCUGUCGCGUCGGGUGUGAAAACUCAGGGCUUAACCCUGAGCCUGCUUCCGAUACGGGCAGACUAGAGGUAUGCAGGGGAGAACGGAAUUCCUGGUGUAGCGGUGGAAUGCGCAGAUAUCAGGAGGAACACCGGUGGCGAAGGCGGUUCUCUGGGCAUUACCUGACGCUGAGGAGCGAAAGCGUGGGUAGCAAACAGG